UCUUGAUUCCAGACCCUCAAAUAUACGUAAAUGUACGAAAGCUUGCAUGGUACGUCGAACACGAAAACCCGGAAAUCUUUUCACCGUUACCGUUUUUUAUACUAUGACGCAAAAUCCAUGGACGCUCACGCGAUCAUCUGUUGCUGUCUUUUUAAAAGUUUUUAAGAAUGGACAGAGAUAGAUGAUACAAGGAACUUUGGUUUUUCAAACUGGUGAAUCAAAAAAUUAUUAUAAACAGAUAAAUUGAAAUGGGUGACUUGUCGAUUAACUGGAAGAAACCAGGGAACGAAACAUAGAAAAUUUAUGAAACGAAAGUCAACGCAACGAAAGUCAAAGUGUUUUUGUUUUGAUGGAUAAUUUUACGUACCCCAAAAGCGCAACGAAAGCAUUUUGAAUGAAAGUACAUUUUGUACAUGUACUUCAACAGAACAGAAUUCAUUUGAGGCCUUGCUUUCUAGAUUAUAUAAUGGAUUCAUAGAUUGUCAUAUUGAUUUAUGUGCAUAAAAGGAGCAGUAGUCAACGAAUAAUUUUGUGAUGAGAGCUUAUUACCAUGGUUACCAAAUGAAAGGAAAGUGCAGUAUUAGAAUCACUGGUGUACAUGUAGAUGCGGAUGUCCGGCAAAAAGAACUGGUAUCAAAGUAAGUUCAUCUGUAGAAUUGCAGUUAAUUUAAAUAAUUUAAUGUUAUCUAUUUAAACCUUUUUCAAGUGUAAUUGUACAUGUUUCGGCAUGUAUACUGUUGUUUAUUUAUGUCUUUCUGAUGUCAAGUAUGCAUCAAGGAAUCCUUAUCCUGUUCUCCUUCUUCUGCUCCACACACACACACGCAUGAGAUGUCAGAAGUUCAAAUAAUUAUAGCAUUUGCUUAUAUUAUGAAUUGUAUAUUUAAAAGUUGUUCU
Molecule: long non-coding RNA, 894 nt
Organism: Mytilus californianus (California mussel)
Lineage: Eukaryota; Metazoa; Mollusca; Bivalvia; Mytilida; Mytilidae
Exons: 3
Source: RefSeq, a predicted model, not a curated record